UGGAAUCGAGUGGCAAACGGGUGAGUAACACGUAAACAACCUGCCUUCAGGAUGGGGACAACAGACGGAAACGACUGCUAAUACCGAAUACGCUUGGAAGACCGCAUGAUCUUCCAAGGAAAGGGUGGCCUCUACCUGUAAGCUAUCGCCUGAAGAGGGGUUUGCGUCUGAUUAGGCAGUUGGUGAGGUAACGGCCCACCAAACCUACGAUCAGUAGCCGGUCUGAGAGGAUGAACGGCCACACUGGAACUGAGACACGGUCCAGACUCCUACGGGAGGCAGCAGUGGGGAAUCUUCCGCAAUGGGCGAAAGUCUGACGGAGCAACGCCGCGCGAGUGAUGACGGCCUUCGGGUUGUAAAGCUCUGUGAUCGGGGACGAACGGUCCGUAAGCCAAUACCUUAUGGAAGUGACGGUACCCGAAUAGCAAGCCACGGCUAACUACGUGCCAGCAGCCGCGGUAAUACGUAGGUGGCAAGCGUUGUCCGGAAUUAUUGGGCGUAAAGCGCGCGCAGGCGGCUUUCUAAGUCCAUCUUAAAAGUGCGGGGCUUAACCCCGUGAUGGGAUGGAAACUGGAAAGCUGGAGUAUCGGAGAGGAAAGUGGAAUUCCUAGUGUAGCGGUGAAAUGCGUAGAGAUUAG
Molecule: ribosomal RNA, 638 nt
Filed under: uncultured bacterium
Lineage: Bacteria
Description: bacterial SSU rRNA
Rfam family: Bacterial small subunit ribosomal RNA
Source: RNAcentral